Molecule: ribosomal RNA, 168 nt
Filed under: uncultured bacterium
Lineage: Bacteria
Description: partial 16S ribosomal RNA
Rfam family: Bacterial small subunit ribosomal RNA
Source: RNAcentral
GCUGGAUUCGCUAGUAAUCGCGCAUCAACCAUGGCGCGGUGAAUACGUUCCCGGGCCUUGUACACACCGCCCGUCAAGCCAUGGAAGCCGGGGGUGCCUGAAGUGUGCAGCCGCAAGGAGCGCCCUAAGGUAAAACCGGUGACUGGGGCUAAGUCGUAACAAGGUACC